CCCAGACAGAAGAGACCACGGUAAAGAUCAGCAGACGGCUUCUGUGGGAACAAAGACAGGGAAAGGGGAAAUGAGUUCACCAGAAACCAACAGGCAGCACAGGAGGUGGUAAACCCGAAAAAGAAAAUGAAGAAAAAGAAAUACGUGAAUUCUGGCACAGACCCAGAUCAACUUCACUGUGGCCAUUGAUUUCACUGCCUCCAAUGGGAACCCCUCACAGUCCACAUCCCUGCACUACAUGAGCCCCUACCAGCUGAACGCCUACGCGCUGGCGCUGACUGCCGUCGGAGAGAUCAUCCAGCACUACGACAGUGACAAGAUGUUCCCUGCCCUGGGCUUCGGGGCCAAGCUGCCCCCGGAUGGCAGAGUGUCCCACGAGUUCCCGCUGAAUGGCAACCAGGAGAACCCCUCAUGCUGCGGCAUCGACGGCAUCCUGGAGGCCUACCACCGCAGCCUGCGCACCGUGCAGCUGUACGGCCCCACCAACUUUGCCCCCGUGGUCACCCACGUGGCCAGGAAUGCAGCGGCCGUGCAGGACGGCUCCCAGUACUCGGUGCUGCUCAUCAUUACUGAUGGGGUCAUCUCGGACAUGGCGCAGACCAAGGAGGCCAUUGUCAACGCACAGCCUGGUUUCCUUUGCUCUUUAUCUCUGAGUGCCCUCCCUCUCCCUACCCCCUUUUCUGUGUUCCUCUGUCUCUCCAUGUUCACUCUCCCAUUUCUUUCCUGCUCACCCCUUCCUGUCCUACCCCUGAUUUCUCCUUCCUUUUAACUGGGUCCCAAUCGGGUCCAACCUUCCCCUGCCCCCCAUGCUGUCUCCCAGGCUGCCAAGCUCCCCAUGUCCAUCAUUAUCGUCGGCGUGGGCCAGGCAGAGUUCGACGCCAUGGUGGAGCUGGAUGGCGACGACGUGCGGAUCUCCUCCCGGGGGAAGCUGGCUGAACGCGACAUCGUCCAG
RNAcentral lists this small RNA (952 nucleotides) under Pan troglodytes (chimpanzee). Its description in RNAcentral is "processed transcript". Lineage: Eukaryota; Metazoa; Chordata; Mammalia; Primates; Hominidae. The record is from RNAcentral.